AUGUACCCACGUACACUCCGGUUCCUCCGCGCCGUCCGCACCUGCCUGACGACUGCUCGCUACGUUUUGUUAGCC
RNAcentral lists this small RNA (75 nucleotides) under Xanthomonas campestris. Its description in RNAcentral is "sX9 sRNA". It matches the Rfam family "Xanthomonas sRNA sX9". The record is from RNAcentral. Lineage: Bacteria; Pseudomonadati; Pseudomonadota; Gammaproteobacteria; Lysobacterales; Lysobacteraceae. RNAcentral also lists the same sequence under 1 other name.